Molecule: ribosomal RNA, 440 nt
Filed under: uncultured bacterium
Lineage: Bacteria
Description: partial 16S ribosomal RNA
Rfam family: Bacterial small subunit ribosomal RNA
Source: RNAcentral
CCUACGGGUGGCAGCAGUGGGGAAUAUUGCACAAUGGGGGAAACCCUGAUGCAGCGACGCCGCGUGAGUGAAGAAGUAAUUCGUUAUGUAAAGCUCUAUCAGCAGGGAAGAAAAUGACGGUACCUGAGUAAGAAGCCCCGGCUAACUACGUGCCAGCAGCCGCGGUAAUACGUAGGGGGCAAGCGUUAUCCGGAUUUACUGGGUGUAAAGGGAGCGUAGACGGCUAAUCAAGUCAGAAGUGAAAACCCAGGGCUCAACCUUGGGACUGCUUUUGAAACUGAGUAGCUAGAGUGCAGGAGAGGUAAGCGGAAUUCCUAGUGUAGCGGUGAAAUGCGUAGAUAUUAGGAGGAACACCAGUGGCGAAGGCGGCUUACUGGACUGUAACUGACGUUGAGGCUCGAAAGCGUGGGGAGCAAACAGGAUUAGAUACCCCAGUAGUC